CGCUCUAAAUCCCCUAGAUUCUUCUAGGUACUUGGGGGACUAGGGAUGUGUUCCACGCCUGGGCGCGCAGUCUGCUUCGCCAGCUCGCCAACGGCCUUCGGCGACGCCCCGCCGUUCUACGCGUUUGGGUCUUCGGCAAGAACUCCGUUGUUUUUGUGCGCAUACACUGCGGGUCUACGCAGAGUGUAGAGCUGUUCUUGGUCGGCCGGCAGGAAUGCGUCCCGAACCUCUCGGUAGGCCAGGUCGGCGCCUUGCCAAGCUUGUUGGUUGUACCUUAAUUUUUUUACCAUGCCUGAUAGCCCUUCCCAUGGCCUUUUGCCUCAACAUGUAUGCAAACACAGCGCUGCUGGUGUUCAACUUUAACAGGUCUUCUGUUAUGGACUUGAUAACAGCAGCAUACUGAGGAAUGCAUUCACCAAGUCCAUGGGCGCGCUGGUAUGCUUCAUUGAAUGCAGCACACUCUUUUUUGUGGUCCUGCAAAAAGUCACGUAAAUGAACAUGUUUAAAUCUUGAAA
Non-coding RNA from Dermacentor albipictus, 515 nucleotides. The record is from RefSeq and is a predicted model, not a curated record. Lineage: Eukaryota; Metazoa; Arthropoda; Arachnida; Ixodida; Ixodidae.